CAGAGUUAGCCAAACUCCCAACCCAUGUGAACUUAUCUCUUGUUGCCUUCGGCGGGCAGGCUACCGCGGACCUCGCGCCACCCCUCGGGGCGGCCCGCCGGCGGACAGUCCAAAACUCUUUAGCACAUUAGUUGAUUAUCUGAGUAGUCUUAUUAAAUAAGUCA
This 164-nucleotide unclassified non-coding RNA is filed under the name soil metagenome. RNAcentral describes it as "partial internal transcribed spacer 1". The record is from RNAcentral.